CCCUACUCUAAUAAGGUUUUGAUAUCUAGAGCUCAUAGGUGGGAGACAGCUAAUACAUACUUACAAGACAUUUAUUGCAUAGUCAAAUCAUGGAUCCAGAGAAACAAGUCAAUAAGUCAAAUCAAGAUGUGCAUGUGUGGCGAAUGAAUGGUGUAUGGUGAUGAUGGUGAUAACAAUGGUGAAAGUCUAAUUCUACUUGUGCUCUUUUGAGGGGAUACGUACCUUUCUUGCUCUUUUGAAACUUUUUGAGGAGAAUGAGAUGCUCUAUAUUUUCUCUUUCUUUUCUCUCAGGUGGGUAUCUUGUACCCCUAAUUCUACUAUCGGACACUUGUCCAUUUUUACCUCUCGUCUCACUUUUUCCUUUCUUUCGAGGUUCCGGGCACUUGCCCCUUUUUAUUUCCUCGUAUACUUUUUUCUCCUUUUUUUUAUUAGAGCACUCAUCUCCUGAAAUAAUAUAGCAAGUGGUAGUAACCAAGAUAACUUGAGCAUUUAUUUCACAGGGGAAAAACAGAAAUGUUUUUGGCUAUUCUCUCCUUGAUAGGAGUAGAAUAAUUUUUGGGUGGUUCUGGAGAUAGAAAUGGUUGGAUAUAUAUGUGGAUGCGUACUUCCGGAGUAGAAGUAGCAUGUAUGAGUGAACGUGC
Molecule: long non-coding RNA, 641 nt
Filed under: Sorghum bicolor (sorghum)
Lineage: Eukaryota; Viridiplantae; Streptophyta; Magnoliopsida; Poales; Poaceae
Description: long non-coding RNA (SBIC_LNC006427)
Source: RNAcentral